RNAcentral lists this transfer RNA (78 nucleotides) under Thermococci archaeon. RNAcentral's name for it is "tRNA-Glu". It matches the Rfam family "tRNA". Rfam says of the family: Transfer RNA (tRNA) molecules are approximately 80 nucleotides in length. The record is from RNAcentral. RNAcentral also lists the same sequence under 1 other name. Lineage: Archaea; Methanobacteriati; Methanobacteriota; Thermococci.
GCCCCGGUGGUGUAGCUCGGUUAAGCAUAAGGGACUCUCGAUCCCUUGACCCGGGUUCAAAUCCCGGCCGGGGCACCA